AUCAGUCGAUUGUCUCAUCUGCCUGCUUUAUUUAACCCUGAUGUUAAAUAAACUCUAUGCAAAAUGGUAAAGGUAGGCAGGUAUGCAUAUUAUACGGUAUAUAAACCAAUAAGGCUGCACAGUAGCUUAGUGGAUAGUGUUACCACCUCACAACCUGUGUUGAGUUUCAUGUGGUAUCUCUGUGAGCAAAGUUUUGCUGUUUUCUGUUUUAGCUACAAGUCAUCCAGCUCAACAGGAUUACACAGAGGAACCGGAGUCUGACAAGACACAUUCUCCUGCCUCAUCAAAUAUUGUGCAACUGGAGCAGAUGUGUAUUGCAUCACAUACUAGAAGAAUCCAAUAACUGUAAAAUUUAUUAAAGUGUAUGCGCAUCCGAAAGCUGGAGCCAUGUAAGUUUUCAACCAGUUGUUACUCUUUCCUUGGAGAGUAAUUGAUAUUAUUUGAAAUUUAUAUUAUGAUAAUUUAUGACAACUAAUUGCUAUGUGAGGUUACUUCAUUUGUUUCAUUUUCACAUUUAAAAGAAAACAAUGUUGGUUGCAUUAAAAGAAUGAUAAUAUCAUGUAAUAAUAAUAUUGCAUAAUAAUGUUAUCUUUGAUAGAAAUGCUUAAUAAAAAGAUAAUAAAAAAAAUAUUUAUUUAAACAAACAAACAAACACACAAGCAAAUAAAUACAUAUACAUACACAAAAAGGCUAUGGCUAUUGCUUGUGAAAAACAUUAGAAGAAUUAAGGUCAAUAAAUAAUCACUGUACUAUGAGACAAUACAGAAGUUCACAUCCUCAACAUUUCUAUGUACAUAAACUGAUGGAUACAGAAACAUACAUAUAGAUAGAAAAAAUUAUUAAGAAUAGAAGAUUCUAAGAAUAAAAAGAAAAUAAAAUUAUUUCCUAAAAAAGAGAAGGAAUGAAUUUCCUGUGGUGCUUCUCUGUACAAAAUGCUUCACUGUCUAUCACUGUCCAUCUAUUGUGCAAAUCUUAAAACAAAGCUCAGCAUCUUUUGGAGGUGAAAAUGCCCUGAACCACAAGCUGUAAAAUGCUGCUGUUAUUUUUGACAUAAUAAUCUCAUUAUUUUGACAUAUGGAUCUAUCCAAGCUUAUUUCAAUUUAUACAACAGCAGCUCUGACA
Long non-coding RNA from Pangasianodon hypophthalmus (striped catfish), 1122 nucleotides. RefSeq lists it as uncharacterized. The record is from RefSeq and is a predicted model, not a curated record. NCBI's taxonomy places the organism in Eukaryota, Metazoa, Chordata, Actinopteri, Siluriformes, Pangasiidae. The transcript has 3 exons.